Chenopodium quinoa (quinoa) is the source of this 2200-nucleotide long non-coding RNA. RefSeq lists it as uncharacterized. The transcript is spliced from 2 exons. Lineage: Eukaryota; Viridiplantae; Streptophyta; Magnoliopsida; Caryophyllales; Amaranthaceae. The record is from RefSeq and is a predicted model, not a curated record.
CUUAUGAGUCCCAAUUUUUUCCCCAAACUUUGUGUUAAAAUUCGAAUUCCUCUGCAAGGAACCCAUUAAAUUACUCUUCAAUUGAAUUGAUACUCAACUAAGUCAAUUGUCAAUGCUAUUCAAUACCCUUUUUUUCGAUUCAUAUUGCUGUUGAAAUUGGGAAAAUAUUUACCAAUUUGUGGGCAAAUAAUUUCGUAAAUUGCAGUAAAUUCAUGAAGUCAUACUUGAAUGGUAAAAGGAUGUUAUUAACCAAUUGUUGCUUGACAAGAAGCUGAUGAAGGCUGAGCUCAACUCACUACAAAGAGAGGUGGAGGACAUUAGUGGGCAGAGAAGAUGCUUGUUGAAUGAAAUUGACAACUUGAAGUUGAAGUGCAAAGCUUUAAGUGGUGAUAGGAAGAAAAUGAGCAAGAAUUGUCAGCAAGCACUACAAGAAAAAAAUUUAUUUGCUGCGUUUUGUGCUAUUCGCUGCAAAUUAAAGCAUGUUUUCCCUUCUUUUUAAUCGAAAUUAUUAAUUUGCAGGGGUGAAACAUUAAAUCCGCUGCAAAUCAUUCAUCUUGCUUAUAUCCCCCAAACCCUUAUUCCUUUGUCAUUUCAUUACUCAUUCUCUCACCCUUCACCGCCGCUCUCUUUCCUCUUUCCUCUUUCCUCACUAGAUCGACUUCAUCUUUCUCAGUCACCGUCAUCCGCACCGGCGCUAACCGUCAUCUUCGCCGCUAACGCUUCACAUUCUCUCCACCACUGUCAACACUCUUCACCCUCACGUUCUACUUUGAUUCUUCAAUUUGCUCCUUAGUCUAUCUCUUAUACAUGGAUCCAAUUCAACAAUCUGAUGCGAGAAAGACAGGAACAGCUAGUACGAUUUCCAGCCAAUUCAUCGCCCUGCUUUCGCUGAUGUUCAGUCUUUAGCAUCAAUUCCUCCGCCUAUCGUCACCGCUACUAACUCUUGGAAUUUCCUCGUAUCUAAGACUAAUUCUACUCUCAUAUUAUGAUUUAUCUCUUUAUUCUCUUGUUGAAUUAAUUGAUUGAGGUUUUUGUAUGAUGAAUUUGAAUUUUCUGGUGAUUGUCUUAUUUGAUUAUUGUUGGUUGAUUGACAUAAUUUGUGUUGGUAUAUGAACUUUAGGAUGAAUGACAGAAACUAUGUGAUUUCUUUUGUUGUUGUGGAUGUUUUUUGUUCACUGGGGGUUGGGAAUUGCUGAAUGCAUUUGAAGUUUGCCUUUUGUAAUCUCUAAGUUCUCUAAGUUAUGGCUGGGAUAUAUAAAAGAAACUGUCUCCUUCUUGAAGUUGGGUGAUUAACUGCAAUUGCCCUUUUGUGUUACCUUUUGUGUUAUAAGAUAAAUCAACUUUUAAAAUUUGUGGGGAUAUUUUAGUUAGGAAAUUAAGCUUCUAGUAAUCUGUAAAUUUAUGAAUACAAUGAGUUUUGAAAUUAUUAAGGAACAAAGUGUGGGAUGGUGAAUCUAUCAUAUAGAAAAAUCGCGUAAAUUGGUUAUAAAAGGUGGGUUACAAAGGGCUGGGGUUGAUUUAUUAUGUGCCUUAUUACUAUACUUUAGAGAUUUGCCAUGAUAUUUGCCAUCAUAUGAAGCAAAAAAAAAAAAAAAAAAAAAAAAAGGUAUAGUGGUGACUAGUUGACUAGUGCAUGUAUAAAUUUUACUAGUUUGAGUUUUUUUUUUUUCCCUUUUCUUUUCUAAUAUUUGGUGUAUAUAUAUAUAAUUCUUGGAUUUGUCUUUUAAGUAUCAAAAGCCAAUUAAACAACUUCAGAUUACUAUCUACAGAUAGUGCCCUGUGAAUUUCAGCUUUGUGUUCUUGAUUAUGUUAUUUGGCUAAUGUCUCUUGCCUCUCCAUCAUAAAAUCAAUAGUUUGCUGAUUAUAUGCUGUUUUAAGGAUAGUUUUUUAACAUAUUUAACUUGGGAUAUUUGCUAAUUAUAUGCAGGAUAAAAGCACAAAUUUUUCAAUUGACAAUAUCAAAUGAUGAUCAAGAAUAAUUGCUGGCAGCUCGACCCCAUUGUUGUUGUUGGCCGCUUGACGCCACUACUAUUGCGGCUGCUCUUUUAUUAUGCUAAGCUGUUGAAAUGGCUGAUGUAUUGUAGUUUUUUUUUUUCGAUAAAAGUUUAAUUAUACAGGCUUUUGGUAAUGGGGAUAUUUAAGUUAUACAUAUAAGCCUUUAAGUAGCAAUUUAAAGUGCAAUUUGGUAUUUUUCUUUUUA